GAUGAACGCUAGCUACAGGCUUAACACAUGCAAGUCGCGGGGCAGCAUGGGGGUUGCUUGCAAUCCCCGAUGGCGACCGGCGCACGGGUGAGUAACGCGUAUCCAACCUGCCCUUCACCACGGGAUAACCCGGCGAAAGUCGGACUAAUACCGUAUGUUGUCCAUUGACGGCAUCCGAUUUGGACGAAAGGCUUGGCGGUGAGGGAUGGGGAUGCGUCCGAUUAGCCAGACGGCGGGGUAACGGCCCACCGUGGCUACGAUCGGUAGGGGUUCUGAGAGGAAGGUCCCCCACACUGGAACUGAGACACGGUCCAGACUCCUACGGGAGGAAGCAGUGAGGAAUAUUGGUCAAUGGGCGUAAGCCUGAACCAGCCAAGUAGCGUGCGGGAUGACGGCCCUAUGGGUUGUAAACUGCUUUUAUGCGGGGAUAAAGUGGCCCACGUGUGGGCUUUUGCAGGUACCGCAUGAAUAAGAACCGGCUAAUUCCGUG
RNAcentral lists this ribosomal RNA (490 nucleotides) under uncultured bacterium. RNAcentral's name for it is "partial 16S ribosomal RNA". It matches the Rfam family "Bacterial small subunit ribosomal RNA", at positions 28 to 507 of the family's 1533-position model. The record is from RNAcentral.